UACGUAGGGGGCAAGCGUUGUCCGGAAUUAUUGGGCGUAAAGAGCUCGUAGGCGGCUUGUCACGUCGAUUGUGAAAGCCCGAGGCUUAACCUCGGGUCUGCAGUCGAUACGGGCUAGCUAGAGUGUGGUAGGGGAGAUCGGAAUUCCUGGUGUAGCGGUGAAAUGCGCAGAUAUCAGGAGGAACACCGGUGGCGAAGGCGGAUCUCUGGGCCAUUACUGACGCUGAGGAGCGAAAGCGUGGGGAGCGAACAGG
This 253-nucleotide ribosomal RNA is filed under the name uncultured bacterium. RNAcentral's name for it is "partial 16S ribosomal RNA". It matches the Rfam family "Bacterial small subunit ribosomal RNA", at positions 524 to 776 of the family's 1533-position model. The record is from RNAcentral.